This 253-nucleotide ribosomal RNA is filed under the name uncultured bacterium. RNAcentral describes it as "partial 16S ribosomal RNA". It matches the Rfam family "Bacterial small subunit ribosomal RNA", at positions 524 to 776 of the family's 1533-position model. The record is from RNAcentral.
UACGUAGGUGGCAAGCGUUGUCCGGAUUUAUUGGGUUUAAAGGGUGCGUAGGCGGCUUUGUAAGUCAGUGGUGAAAUAUGGCAGCUCAACUGUCAAGGUGCCAUUGAUACUGCGGAGCUUGAGUACAGAUGAGGUAGGCGGAAUUGACGGUGUAGCGGUGAAAUGCGUAGAUAUUGGGAGGAACACCAGUGGCGAAGGCGGCUCACUGGACUGGUACUGACGCUGAGGCGCGAAAGCGUGGGGAUCAAACAGG